This is a long non-coding RNA of Homo sapiens (human), 770 nucleotides long. Lineage: Eukaryota; Metazoa; Chordata; Mammalia; Primates; Hominidae. The record is from Ensembl.
GCGGCAAGAGCAGUGAAGCACCCGUCGUCACGCUGGUUCCCUAGUGCAGACUUGGAAUAUGCUGGAGAAUAUUCAGAGGAGCAUGGGUGCUUGCUCUGACAUGAGUCUCAGAGGUGCAGACACGCACCUGCAACGUCCUAACUUUCCUUAGAAGCAAUUUGGAACUAUCAACCACAAUAUAUUUAUCCAAAGUCCCUAUAAACUAAGACUUUCUGGCAUCCUUUAUCUUGAAGUUGAACCAACUGAAAACACCCUUUGACUCCUCUUCUGCCUGUCCUACUGAUGUCUAUCACCUUCUCCUGCCUGAUCCCAGCCCCACCAGAAGGUCAUAAGCGAAGUGGCCUUCUCAGAAUGCAGCUGCUGAAGGUUCAGCCACACAGAAUCCAUCCAGGAGCCUCAAGCAGCCAGACCUCAAGCCUCUUGGGAAAAACAUCUCUUUCAAAAUAAAGGCACGAGAAUCACGUUCUGUCAGCGCAGUCGCCACUGUCUGGACCGCUGCACAAAAGCAGACACGAGUGGAGUGAGGCCCGCGGCGGAGCCCUCCCUGCCUCCUGGCGGCGUGGGCUCAGGCCAGGGCCAGGGCGCACCAGGAAUCCGGUCGCACGGAGGACGUGACUUCGGCCGGCGAGGCGAGACUGACGCCUAUGUAGAGCCCAUCUUGACCCGAAUACUUGAGCUCGCUGUUCUCGGGAUUGGUGCUCUCUCCCGCACCAGUCAUCACCGGGGCACCCGCCUGGCAGAAGAGGGGGACACAGAGGAGAGACGAGAAG